CACUUUGUGCUUGAGAUGGAUUCGGUACGCAGCGUGGGGAAUGAUAGGACUGAAGAAGCAGCUCCAACAAUGACGACCUUUGACCCCUGAAAUGUGUACCAAAGACAGAGAGAAAGCAGGGGAGAAGAGGGAACACAGUUCUGACAUGUCACAAGACCACAGUGGAAAGAGUCAAAAUGGCGAACUCUGGAGAGACAUUAAAGGUUGCCUUCACAUCUGAUCGCCAAGCAGAAAAGUCCAAACUUUGGUUGAGACUCUGGAGUCAGUUUGGUGGAAAAUGCCUUGUGGGUUUCAGAACCACAACUGCAACACAUGUUUGGACUUAGAACAAGAAAACUACAGUUACACCCUGCUGCAGCAGCAACUGUUACAAUAAGGAUGAGCAGAAAAAUGAUAAUUCUAUUAAAAACGAAAAUGUUCAUAAUAAAAAGAGGGAUUAGAUGCAAGAUAUGAAGAUUAAAAGGCAGAAUUUACCAAGUCGACGAGGAUUCUUCCCAAAACACCUUGAUUCGCCCUGAGAGUGAGACAGAAGAGCCGCUGCUACACGUAUGCCUCCUGCAGCAAGUAGGAUCCCUCUGCGGAGCGUCGGCUAGAUUACAGAGGAUCCUUCUUUCUCCAGGGUUUAAUACAUUU
Long non-coding RNA from Xiphophorus hellerii (green swordtail), 633 nucleotides. RefSeq lists it as uncharacterized. The transcript is spliced from 2 exons. Lineage: Eukaryota; Metazoa; Chordata; Actinopteri; Cyprinodontiformes; Poeciliidae. The record is from RefSeq and is a predicted model, not a curated record.